This 474-nucleotide ribosomal RNA is filed under the name uncultured organism. Its description in RNAcentral is "partial 16S ribosomal RNA". It matches the Rfam family "Bacterial small subunit ribosomal RNA", at positions 332 to 797 of the family's 1533-position model. The record is from RNAcentral.
UACACUCCUGCGGGAGGCAGCAGUGGGGAAUAUUGCACAAUGGGCGCAAGCCUGAUGCAGCCAUGCCGCGUGUAUGAAGAAGGCCUUCGGGUUGUAAAGUACUUUCAGCGGGGAGGAAGGCGAUAAGGUUAAUAACCUUGUUGAUUGACGUUACCCGCAGAAGAAGCACCGGCUAACUCCGUGCCAGCAGCCGCGGUAAUACGGAGGGUGCAAGCGUUAAUCGGAAUUACUGGGCGUAAAGCGCACGCAGGCGGUCUGUCAAGUCGGAUGUGAAAUCCCCGGGCUCAACCUGGGAACUGCAUUCGAAACUGGCAGGCUAGAGUCUUGUAGAGGGGGGUAGAAUUCCAGGUGUAGCGGUGAAAUGCGUAGAGAUCUGGAGGAAUACCGGUGGCGAAGGCGGCCCCCUGGACAAAGACUGACGCUCAGGUGCGAAAGCGUGGGGAGCAAACAGGAUUAGAUACCCGAGUAGUCCCA